RNAcentral lists this long non-coding RNA (1411 nucleotides) under Pan troglodytes (chimpanzee). RNAcentral describes it as "long non-coding RNA NONPTRT005598". Lineage: Eukaryota; Metazoa; Chordata; Mammalia; Primates; Hominidae. The record is from RNAcentral.
CCGCACCCGGCCUGCCCCCAUCUUUUAAAGGUUGGCUUUCCUCUUUCCACAGUUGCAGAUCAAAUUCCUAUCCUAGGGCCCCCGGCACAGUACAGGCUGGAGAGAGGGCAGGCUCGAAGGCUUCUGCACAUGCUGCUUUCCUUGUGGAAGGAAGACUUUCAGGGGCCGGUUCCGCUGCAGCUGCUGCUGAGCCCAAGAAAUGUGGGGCUUCUGGCAGACACAAGGCCAAGGGAGUGGGACUUGCUGCUAUUCUUGCUCCGGGAGCUGGUGGAGAAGGGUCUGAUGGGACGGAUGGAGAUAGAGGCCUGCCUGGGCAGCCUCCACCAGGCCCUGUGGCCAGGGGACUUUGCUGAAGAAUUAGCAACACUGUCUAAUCUGUUUCUAGCCGAGCCCCACCUGCCAGAACCCCAGCUAAGAGCUUGUGAGUUGGUGCAGCCAAACCGGGGCACUGUGCUGGCCCAGAGCUAGGGCUGAGAAGUGGCCCUGCCUUGGGCAUCGCACCAGAACCCUGGACCCCCGCCUCACGAGGAGGCCCAAGUGCCCAAUGCAGACCCUCACUGGUUGGGGUGUAGCUGGGUCUACAGUCAGACUUCCUGCUCUAAGGGUGUUGCUGCCUGGCAUCCCACCACGCGAAUCCUAGAGGAAGGAGAGUUGGCCUGAUUCGGGAUUAUGGCAGAAAAGCCCAGAGAUGCCAGUCCUGGAGUAGAAGAGGUGGUGUUUGUUUAUCUCUUGGAUGCUAAAUGAAAUGAGGUGUGUGGGCUUGUCAACACAGAAUUCAAGCCUCAUUUGCUAUCCCAGCAUCUCUUAAAACUUUGUAGUCUUGGAAUUCAUGACAGAGGCAAAUGACUUCUGCUUAACUUAUGAAGAAAGUUAAAACAUGAAUCUUGGGAGUCUACAUUUUCUUAUCACCAGGAGCUGGACUGCCAUCUCCUUAUAAAUGCCUAACACAGGCCGGGUCUGGUGGCUCAUGCCUGUAAUCCCAGCACUUUGAGAGGCCCGAGGUCGGCGGACUGCCUGAGGUCAGGAAUUCAAGACCAGCCUGGCCAACAUGGCAAAACCCCGUCUCUACUAAAAAUAAAAUUAUUAGCUGGGCAUGGUGGUGUGUGCCUGUAAUCCCAGCUACUCAGGAGGAUGAGGCAGGAGACCUGCUUGAACCUGGAGGUGGAGGUUGCAGUGAGCCGAGGUCGCACGACUGCACUCCAGUCUGGGUAACAGAGCGAGACUUUCUAGAAAAAGCCUAACAAACAGAUAAGGUAGGACUCAACCAACUGAAACCUGACUUUCCCCCUGUACCUUCAGCCCCUGUGCAGGUAGUAACCUCUUGAGACCUCUCCCUGACCAGGGACCAAGCACAGGGCAUUUAGAGCUUUUUAAAAUAAACUGGUUUUCUUUACCAAGGGCUUGAUGUCUA